This 194-nucleotide ribosomal RNA is filed under the name uncultured eukaryote. RNAcentral's name for it is "partial 18S ribosomal RNA". It matches the Rfam family "Eukaryotic small subunit ribosomal RNA", at positions 1299 to 1458 of the family's 1831-position model. The record is from RNAcentral.
UGGUGGAGUGAUUUGUCUGGUUUAGUCCGAUAACGAACGAGACCUCAAUCUAUUAAAUAGUAAAUCUAACAAGGGGAUUUUCGGGUCGGUCGGGUUCGCUCGGUCGGUUCGGGGUUCCCAUCAAAUUGUCGGAAAAGUAUACUUCUUAGAGAGACUCUUGAUAUUUAAAUCAAUGGAGGAGUGAGGCAAAAACA